This 484-nucleotide ribosomal RNA is filed under the name uncultured bacterium. RNAcentral describes it as "partial 16S ribosomal RNA". It matches the Rfam family "Bacterial small subunit ribosomal RNA", at positions 30 to 507 of the family's 1533-position model. The record is from RNAcentral.
AUUGAACGCUGGCGGCAGGCCUAACACAUGCAAGUCGAGCGGAAGAAGGGAGCUUUCUUCUGGAUUCAGCGGCGGACGGGUGAGUAAUGCCUAGGAGUCUGCCUGGUUGUAGGGGAUAACGUCCUGAGACGGGCGCGAAUACCGCAUACGUCCUGAGGGAGAAAGUGGGGGAUCUUCGGACAUCACGCUAUCAGAUGAGCCUAGGUCGGAUUAGCUAGUUGGUGGGGUAACGGCCUACCAAGGCGACGAUCCGUAACUGGACUGAGAGGAUGAUCAGCCACACUGGAACUGAGACACGGUCCAGACUCCUACGGGAGGCAGCAGUAGGGAAUAUUGGGCAAUGGGCGAAAGCCUGAUGCAGCCACGCCGCGUGUGUGAAGAAGGUCUUCGGAUCGUAAAGCACUGUAAGUUGGGAGGAACGGCUGUAAGUUAAUACCUUGCUGUCUUGACGGUACCAACAGAAUAAGCACCGGCUAACUACGUG